GAAAUGCGAUACUUGGUGUGAAUUGCAGAAUUCAGUGAAUCAUCGAAUCUUUGAACGCACAUUGCGCCCGCCAGUAUUCUGGCGGGCAUGCCUGUUCGAGCGUCAUUUCAACCAUCAAGCCCCGUGCUUGUGCUGGGGACCUGCGGCUGCCGCAGGCCCUGAAAACCAGUGGCGGGCUCGCUGUCACACCGGGCGUAGUAAUUACAUCUCGCUCAGGGCGUGCUGCGGGUUCCGGCCGUAAAAAGCCUUAUUUACCCAAGGUUGACCUCGGAUCAGGUAGGAAGACCCGCUGAACUUAA
This 299-nucleotide unclassified non-coding RNA is filed under the name uncultured Sordariomycetes. Its description in RNAcentral is "sequence contains ITS1". The stretch from base 1 to 105 matches the Rfam family "5.8S ribosomal RNA", at positions 50 to 154 of the family's 154-position model. The record is from RNAcentral. Lineage: Eukaryota; Fungi; Ascomycota; Sordariomycetes.